RNAcentral lists this ribosomal RNA (271 nucleotides) under uncultured archaeon. Its description in RNAcentral is "partial 16S ribosomal RNA". It matches the Rfam family "Archaeal small subunit ribosomal RNA", at positions 477 to 747 of the family's 1478-position model. The record is from RNAcentral.
CAGCGCCACGAGUGGGGACCGUUAUUAUUGGGCCUAAAGCAUCCGUAGCCGGAUUAGUAAAUCCUUUGUGAAAUUAUAGGGCUUAACCUUAUAGCGUGCAGAGGAGACUGCUGAUCUUGAGACCGGGAGGAGUUAGAGGUAUGCGCUGGGUAGCGGUAAAAUGCAAUAAUCCAGUGUGGACCACCUGUGGCGAAGGCGUCUAACUAGAACGGGUCUGACGGUGAGGGAUGAAAGCUGGGGGAGCGAUCCGGAUUAGAUACCCGAGUAGUCC